Molecule: ribosomal RNA, 182 nt
Filed under: Escherichia coli
Lineage: Bacteria; Pseudomonadati; Pseudomonadota; Gammaproteobacteria; Enterobacterales; Enterobacteriaceae
Description: partial 23S ribosomal RNA
Rfam family: Bacterial large subunit ribosomal RNA
Source: RNAcentral
CUAAAUGCGGAAGAGAUAAGUGCUGAAAGCAUCUAAGCACGAAACUUGCCCCGAGAUGAGUUCUCCCUGACUCUUUAAGGGUCCUGAAGGAACGUUGAAGACGACGACGUUAAUAGGCCGGGUGUGUAAGCGCAGCGAUGCGUUGAGCUAACCGGUACUAAUGAACCGUGAGGCUUAACCUU